Molecule: unclassified non-coding RNA, 207 nt
Filed under: Clitocybe ditopa
Lineage: Eukaryota; Fungi; Basidiomycota; Agaricomycetes; Agaricales; Clitocybaceae
Description: partial internal transcribed spacer 2
Source: RNAcentral
AAUUCUCAACCUUUUCAGCUUUUUUACAAAGUUGAAUAGGAUUGGAUAUGGGGGUUGAGGGCUACUCAGAAGUCGGCUCCUCUUAAAUGCAUUAGCAAAAUCUUUGUGGACCAGCUCUGGUGUGAUAAUUAUCUACGCCUUUGCCUGUUAACACAUCUUUAUAGGAUUUAGCUUCUAACCGUCCAUUGACUUGGACAAUUUCUGACA